This 253-nucleotide ribosomal RNA is filed under the name uncultured bacterium. RNAcentral describes it as "partial 16S ribosomal RNA". It matches the Rfam family "Bacterial small subunit ribosomal RNA", at positions 524 to 776 of the family's 1533-position model. The record is from RNAcentral.
UACGUAGGGUGCAAGCGUUAAUCGGAAUUACUGGGCGUAAAGCGUGCGCAGGCGGUUGUGUAAGACAGAUGUGAAAUCCCCGGGCUCAACCUGGGAACUGCAUUUGUGACUGCACGGCUGGAGUGCGGCAGAGGGGGGUGGAAUUCCGCGUGUAGCAGUGAAAUGCGUAGAGAUGCGGAGGAACACCGAUGGCGAAGGCAGCCCCCUGGGCUAACACUGACGCUCAGGCACGAAAGCGUGGGGAGCAAACAGG